Molecule: long non-coding RNA, 17961 nt
Filed under: Solanum lycopersicum (tomato)
Lineage: Eukaryota; Viridiplantae; Streptophyta; Magnoliopsida; Solanales; Solanaceae
Description: long non-coding RNA (SLYC_LNC001249)
Source: RNAcentral
UAAUUAUCAAACUAUAGUUAUGGAGUGUAAAGGCAAAGGGCCCAAUAUACCCUUUAAUUUUACCAUUUAGGCUCAUAUAUAUAUAUAUAUAUAUAUAUAUAUAUAUAGAGAGAGAGAGAGAGAGAGAGAGAGAAAGAGAGAGAAGUCACUCUUGUAACGAAGAUGUAUCAGCUCUAAAUGACAAAUCAAGGAAAAAUAUUUGAGAAGGUGUAGUAAAAUAUUCCUUCCAAUUUAACUUAUUUGUCUUACUUUUCCUUUUUAAUCCGUUUCAAAAAAAAUAUUUUCAUAGUUCUAAAAUUUUCUCAUUACAAGUUUAAAGUCACCAAAAUAAAAUGACAUUUUAAUACCUACUACAUAUCUUUUUAUUCUAGAUCCCAAAAACUAAAUAAAAAAUAUUUUCUUAAAACUCUUCUCAUAUUUGUUUUAUGUCAUUCAAGUGGUACAAAAGAUAAUCUUUUUGACUUUUCAAUGUUGAAUUACUAAUAAGAAGUCGCUUUCAUCCAUAUAAACAAGUUAUUUAUAAUACAAAAAUAUAUAUUUUAAUGUAAUUUUAUUUUAUACUUAUACUCUUCAACUUUACGUGUAUAUAAAACGACAAUUAAAUAUGUAUUAAAUUAAACAAAUUACAUCCUAUAUAACAAUACAUAUCUUACGUUUUGUCUUACAUAUAUUAUCCAACAUAGGAUUCAUGUGUAUACCUGUUCAACUCUAUAAUGUCUAUUAGUGUCUCAAAAAUUAAAUAAUAUAAAUAUAAUAUGACAUUAAAUUAAAAACAGGCAUUAUGCCAAAAAAUAUUUUUUUAAAAAAAAAAAGUUAGUAAAAAGAUAGAUACAGCUAACCAUGGGAAUCUUGUCCUUAAAUAAUAUACAUUGAGGCUCACAUAACAUCAAAUUAACUAAAAGAUCCAAUAAUCUUACCUAAUAACAAAAACUAUAUUUAUUUAUUUAUUUAUUUUUUUUAAAAAAGAAAAGACAAAGAUGCAAAGAAAAAAUCAAUGCACAAAACACAAAUUAUAUCACAACAUAAAAGUCAUCAAUUGGACCAAGUCUAAUACCAUCAAAGUCAUCAUCUACAAUAUAUCAAUCAACACCAAUUUUCUAACACUAAUUAAUGUCACAAUUAAAAAUAAAAAUAAAAACAUACCAGAAAACCGCUCUUAGAUACCGGUUUAUUAGAACCAGGGGCGGAUCUAGCCUUGAUUUAGAUUCUACGUUAAAUAAUACAUAUUUCAACCCUAAUACAUUAAUCAGAACUCGAUCUGUAUAGUUCGAAUUCUGAAUCCAUUUCUGAUUACGAAAUCGUUAAUCCAAGAAUAUCAGCAGCAGAUUUCCCCAUAAUAUUAGCAAACUCAUUAAAACUUAUAACACCAUCACCAUUAGUAUCAGCUUCUUGCAUCAUAUCAGAUAAUUCUUUAUACGUUAACGGGCGACCCAUUUUAGCCAUUGACCCGGCCAGCUCAGCAGCCGUUAUAUAACCGUUACCGUCUCGAUCGAACGAUCGAAAAACCUCCAUUAAUUGUUCUUGAUUUAUUAAAAUUUCCGCAUUUAUAUCAGGCAUUAUAGCAUUUACGAGUUCAUCGAAUUCGAUGAACCCGUUGCCAUUAUUAUCCAUGUUGGCUAAUAAUGUAUGGAUUUGAUCGCCCGUUGGUUUGAGCCCUAGGGCACGAAGAAGCGCGGCUAACUCUAGUUGUGUGAGGCUUCCAUCAUGAUCAAGAUCGAAUCGUCCAAAUAUUUCUUUGAGUUGUUUGAGUUGUUCAUCGGAUUGAAUGCUUACCAUUCUACGAACGUUUAUAUUAUUAUUGAGCUCGUAAUGGUACCUCAAGAAUAUAGAAGGGAGAAAUGAAAGAAGUUUGAGAUGUGUUUUUGUUUUUUGUUGGGAUUUAAUGAUGUAAUGAGAAACCGUGUGAGGGAAUAGAGAGGAAAAUUCUUAGGUAUAUUAUUUUAUUUAAGGUGAUAUAAAAAGAUUGUGAAUUAUUAUUGGUUUGACAUAAAUAUAGUAAAAUUUUGUUGAAACUCUUAAAAUAUAUAUAACUAGUUUUGGAUAAGAACAAAUUUUCUUAUAUAUAUAGACAUUACUUUUUUUCUUUUCUAUAUAUAUAGAUUUACUUGUUUAUUUUUAUUUGUAUUUUAUUUUCUGAAUAACAGAAAUACUGUAUUUAUUGUACUUUAUUAUGGGUGUUAGUGCCACCGAAAGUGACCAGACAGUUUGUCAUUCAAUGAAUGGUUGGUGAAGCCAUUAAUGGAAAUCCAAAAAUAAAAUUAAAAAAAGAGAAUGAAUGGAAAAAGGGUGAAAAUUUAUGUGUUUAAUGAAUCAAACUAAUAUUGCUUGUAUGUUUAUUACGUUUUUUUUAAGAUUAUUUUUGUUUUGAGUUGAAGAUAUAUAUAUAUAUAUAUAAUCAUAUUUAACGUAGAAGUAAAAUUUAUAUAUAUUUUACUCGUCCAGACUUUAUUUGUGAAAAUUUUAUCUUUUUCUUAAUUUAUCAAAAUUAAUGAGUAACAAAGAAAAAUUGAACAAGUUAUUAGAAACAACGAAAAUAAUAUGUAAAGUAAAAGUAAUACUUAUUUAUCAUAAUCAAACUAAAAAAAUACUUUGUAUUCAAACACAUUACAUAUUGAUUUGAUGCCAAGUGAUCGACUUUAAGCACAGUACUCGUGUCAAUAUUCCAAUUUUGAAUCAAGUUGAUUGAAAAAAUACAGACUUCUCUACGGAAAACUAGAAUUUCGAUAUGAUAGUGAAUUGCCUGUGAUUCAAACCCGGAACUAGUCGGAUGGAAUAGAUAAGUUCCUUGUCAAAUAAAAUCCGCUUGAAAAAGAAUAAAUUGAAACCAAUUCGAAACUGUAUCAAAGCAAUGAUAUCUCGAAAUGUAUAGAGCCUAACAUUUACGGAAGAAGUCUUCAUUUUUCCACCAUAUUUUUUUAAUGUACUACUGAAAAAAUGUAUCAGUGUAAAUCGAUCCAUUAAUAUAAAGCGAAUCGAUAUAUCUCAAAGGCGAACAAAUACAAAGCAAAACUCAAAAGAUCAUUAUGUAUUGUACUACAUGACAUAUAUUUGCUCGAGAAGGGGACAUGUUAACCACUAUAUCGUUCUAAUUUUAUCAGAUGUCCGCGGAGUAACUGGAGAACCUGUACAUUUCAUCAAGAAUUGCAUUGUGACCUUGAACAAGAAAGAAAAUGAAUGAACUCUUCAUCAGUUGUAUCAGUUACUUACAGAAAAAAUUGCUGUCAAAUUGCAGAUACUACAUGUAGUAUGUCAAGCUAAAAAGAGACCUACUUCACAAAACUUACCUCUCAGCUAAAGCAGCCUUUGAUGUAUUAACAGAUGUUCACCUAAACAUGCUCAGACAACUCUCUACUAUAGUUGGUGCUUUGACUCGAAAAAUCUGAAUUAACAUCUUGACUAGGAAAUGCCAUCCUUCGAAAGAGUCUUAUUUGUGCAGAUUGCUCAGCAGAGUUAUAUAUUGCACUUUCACCAACUUUCAUUCCGUUUGUCAAAUCAGACAUUAGCAUACUAUCAAAAGCUCUCAUGAUCUGUGCAAGCAUAAGCAUGACGAGAAUGUAAUUGCCCUUCUGUUAAGGAAGAUUUGAGGUAGUUUGUGGAUUAGUUUUCAAGUAAAGUAAAUGAAUUUUUACCUGUCCCAUCCCUGGUCUCUUUGCAGCUGAGUGACGCACACAAGCUGCAGCUAUCUCAAUCAUUUGAAACAUCUCACUGUCAAUGUAAUUAGUCCCAAGGCGAGGAUCUGUCAACUGAUCAAAUUCCUCUUUUUCAAGUGCAUUACCAAGCAAAGGUCGAGCCUGGAAGUAAUCAAAUUAAAUCACAGUUAGUGGAUCCUGCUCGACAAAAUGAGAAGGGAUAUAAGAUCUCUGCUGCUACUGUUAUUGGUUUUUGGUUCUGCAAUGAAUAAUUAAAUGGUAGUUGAGUUUCAAGUUUAGACUUGUCUUAGGAUCUAUGGUUUUGAUAUCAUGAGCAAGCUGCAACAAAAUCUAAGCAGACAACUUUUGUGGUGUUGCUUUAGUUGUUGCAAAAGCAACCUAACCUCAAUGUUUCAGGUGCUAAUAUUGAUAUUACAGGACUGACUACAUAAUUCUCAAUACUACCUGAAACCAAAUCAAACCGUUGUAUGAUCGUGUCGCAAAAUAGUGUAUAAGAAACGAAGACAGAAUCCUACAAGGAAUCAAUGGAAAAAUAGUCUGCAAUGGAAAUACUCAAAUAUCAAGUUCAUUUGAUACGCUCAGCACUGAAAUAUCAGGUCCAGUUAGACUUCUAUUUUUCUGACAGAUUCAGCUAUGCUGCUAAGUGCAACCGAUAUGUUGAAUAUAGACACCUAAGGGAAUGAGAGAAGAGGGUUAUCCCCAAAUAUAUCCCGUGUCAGUUCUAUAAGACAAGGAAGACGCAUUAUUCCCUCCGAAUUUGCAAGAAUAGCUGAAAGACCAUAGAAGAUAAGGUAAACUUUGGGCCUUUUCCUUGUAAGAAUGAAGAAAUAAAAGCUUGAAGCUUUAGUAGAUCGUAUAUAACAUGAUAUGAGCUUCAAACUGUCCAUGCUAUGUUUUUUAAUAUUUAAAGUUCGGAUCAACCUCACAGAGCCUAGCUCAUUCUCUCUUGAGUCUUGAAAAAACCCACAACCCCUUGGGGUUAUCCUAAACUUGGAAGAAGAAGUAGAAAAAGAAAAUUACUUUUCUAACUUAAUUACUUUAAGGACUGCAACAUAGUAAACUAGUAUAUCCAUUUGGUUGCUCUAAUAGAUUGAAAGCAUAUUGUUAAAAAAAAAUUAACAACACGACUUACAUGCUCUUUUAGUGUCAUAGGUUGUUGGUGUUAAUGCAUUUUAAUAUCAAAAUUAAAAGGUCAAAGUCAUCUGCGGCCCCUUAAAGUUGUCCUCAUUAUUCAUUUAGACACCUCAACUAGACCUAGUACCUAUUGAACACCUCUACCACCCUAGAUUUGAACCGUCUAAGCAUUUUUUUUAUCAUUUUUCAUAAAGGGCGCGUGUGUUUAAGCUCCCCAUAUAUAUAGAAUGACCAUUUAACAACUAUCACGUGUAUCCGACGUGCAUUUGUAAAUAUCUUAAUUAGGAAAAAUUCUUAAAUCAUUUAACUUUGACACAACUUAUCUCUCUUCGUGAUUUCUUCCAAAUUGAAGCUCUCCAUCUUCCCGAUUUAAUUUGGAUUUGUCGUGUUCGUGUUACGAUCUUGAAGAUUUCCUUGUGUGUGUAAGGAUUCUCAAUGUUUUUUUUUACAUGUUUUGUAAAAUGAAUUCCAAAAGGCUAGGGUUUUGUAAAAAUAUAGGGCUUGUGACUUUUGCGAAUAUUUUGUCCCUUCUUUACUAUUUCCCAGAAAAUAUGCUUUAAAGCUUUGUUUUUAAGUUGUUGUAUGGGUUAUAUGAGUAUAUUUUGUUAUUUUUAAGUUAGGGUUUGUUUGAUAUUUUGUAGGGCUACCUAACAAUUGACAAUGGAGGAGCUUAUAUUUACAAAGAUUUACCAUGGUAGAAUCUUAUCCGAGAUAUAUGUCCCUACUUGUGUUGAAAAUUGUGUCUGCACUCAGGUAUAUUAUUAAGGACCACUUUCCCAUUUUGGAACUAUUGUAUUAUACUAUAGAAUUGGGGUAUGAAACUGUGGAGGCUUUUAUGUCAAGGAUUUAUUGAAUAAACAAUGGAUCCUAAUUACAACUGACCAACAUCUAAUUAAAAACUUAAAACAUGAUGACACUUUUAAAAUAUUUGUAUGUCAUGUAUUAGAUGAACCCUUACUUGACACUGAGGGACCUAGAGGCUAUCUAACUAAUGUUGGUGGUGAAGGUGUUGACCUUGACCUUGGUGAAGAGGGUGAGGCUGUUAACUGAGGUGGAGAAGGUGAGGAUGUUGACCUAGGUGGAGAAGGUGAGGUUGUUAGGCUGUUAACCUUGGUGGUGAGGGUGCUGAUGUUAACAUUGGUGAAGAGGGUGGGGAUGAGGUCUGUUUGCAACAAAUUUUAAAUAUAUAAAAAAUAAACAAACCAUACAAAUAAAAUAUGAAGAAACGUGAUUUUAUUCAUCAAGAUUGUGAGUACAAAACUCUCUCCCUUGAUUCUACUCUCUAAGAUAAUUUAUCCAUGAUUCGAGGCCUGUUAGUGGCGUAUUUCUCGAAUUAGGAUGAUUUAGAUUUGACCUCUCUAUAUGAGAUCUUGAUCUCUUUGUGGAUUUUUCGAGAUGCCUUUUAAGGAAAUUUAGUACCCUUUAUAUUGGCAUAAACUAGGGUUUAGGGUUGAGUAACCACCAAGAAUCCUUAUCUGAGUUCAACACAAUUUGUAGAGUCCCAACUCCAAUUGAACGCAUCUUGUAGAGCCCUACAAAAUUUCAAUGUCUACAAAUGCCCCCUGCUUCAAGGCUUGACGGAAUGUAGACUUGUGAAACUCAAAGACGAGGCUUGAAGUACUCAUUAUUCCACCUUUGCAGCUUUAGAUUUUCAUAUUUAAUUUAAGAGAGAAGAGAUGAAGGGCAGAUUUGGUCCCACUGGGCGUGCCAAUUUGUUUGCAACAAAUUUUAAACAUAUGGAAAAUAAACAAACCAUACAAAUAAAAUAUGAAGAAACGUGAUUUUAUUCAUCAAGAUUGUGAGUACAAAUCUGUUCCUCCCUUGAUUCUACUCUCUAAGAUAAUUUAUCCAUGAUUCGAGGGCCGUUAGUGGCGUAUUUCUCGAAUUAGGAUGAUUUAGAUUUGACCUCUCUAUAUGAGAUCUUGAUCUCUUUGUGGAUUUUUCGAGAUGCCUUUUAAGGGAAUUUAGUACCCUUUAUAUAGGCAUAAACUAGGGUUUAGGGUUGAGUAGCCUCCAAGAAUCCUUAUCUGAGUUGAACACAAUUUGUAGAGUCCCAACUCGAAUUGAACGCAUCUUGUAGAGUCCUACAAAAUUUCAAUGUCUACAAGGUCGUUAACCUAGGUGGAGAGGGUGAAUCUGAUUUCUUGAGUAGUGAUUCAGACCUAGAUAUACCUUCAGAAGGUGGUUUAGAUAUUGAUGAAGAGUUGAGAGCUUUUAGACAAGAAAGAAGAAACAAAAAAUAGAGAAAGGCUAUUGAAUAUGAAGAAAUACCAGUUAGAGGUUUAGAUAGAGGCUUUGAGGAUAUUGAAAAAAAUAAAACUGAUAAAUAUGAAGGAAAAUUGGGUGGAGAUGAGAAUUAUAUUGAUAGCUCUGACUGUUGGAUUGAUGAACAACUAGAUGUGGAUAUGUUAGGGGAGUAGAUAUAACUGCUAGAAGGAGAAGCAAAAAGUUAGGUAUGACGAAGAUUGUGAAGUGUCAAUAUUUGAGCUUGGAAUGGUCUUUGAGGGGCAAAUCAGUUCAGGAAAGCAGUGGCAGAUUAUGCUGUAGAGUACAGGAGGCAGAUAAAGUUAAGAUCUAAUGACAAACAUAGAGUGAGGAUAAAGUGCAAAAAUCCUACCGUAAGUGGUUGCCAUUGACAGGGACUCAUGUGAUUUCUUAAGAAUUAUAUGACAACCAAUUUUUGCACUUUACCCCCACUCUAUGUUUUUCAUGAGGUCUUAACUUUAUUUGUCUCUUCUACUCUACAACAUAAUUUGCCACUGCUUUCCUAAACUGAUUUGCAUCCUCAAAGAUUAUUCCAAACUCAAAUUUUGACACUUACAAUCUUCAUCAUACCUAACUUUUUUAUUUUUUCUUCUAGCAGGUAUAUCUACUCCCCUAACAGCAUCCACAUCUAGUUUUCAUCACUAUCAUCACUCCAACCGUCAGAGCUAUCAAUAUAAUCCUCAUCUCCACCCAAUUUUCUUGCAUAUUUGUCAAUCUUAUUUUUCCCAAUAUGCUCAAAGCCUCUAUCUAUACCACCAGCCUCUCCAACUGGUAUUUCUUCAUAUUCCGUGUUCUCUGUAUUUUGUUUCUUCUUUCUUGUCUAAAAGCUCUCAACUCCUCAUCAAUAUCUGAACCAUCUUCUGAAAGUAUAUUUAAAUCUGAAUCACUAUUCAAGAAAUCAGAUUCACCCUCUUCACCUAGGUGAAGAUCCUCAUCCUCACCCUCUUCACCAAUGUUAACAUCAACACCCUCACCACCAAGGUUAACAACCUCACCCUCACCACCAAGGUUAACAACCUCAAACUCUCCACCUAGGUCAACAACCUCACCUUCUCCACCUAGGUUAACAUCCUCAUCCUCUCUACCAAAGUUAACAGUCUCACCCUGUUCACCAAGGUCAACAUCAACACCUUUACCACCAAUAUUAGUUAGAUAGCCACUAAGUCCCUCAGUGUCAAGUAAGGGUUCAUCUAAUAUAUGACAGACAACUACUUCAAAAGUGUCCUAAUGUUUUAAAUCUUUAAAUAGAUGUUGGUCAGUUGUAAUUAGGACCCCUUGUUUAUUCAAUAAAUCCUUGACAUAAAAGCCUCCAACAGUUUCAUACCCCAAUUCCUUAGUAUAGUUUCAUACCCCAAUUCCUUAGUAUAAUAUAGUAGUUCCAAAAUGGAAAAGUGGUCCUUAAUAAUGUACAUGUGUGUUUCCAACAUAAGUAGGGAUAUAUAUCUUGAAUAACAUUCCACCAUGUUAAAUCUUUGUAAAUAUAAUCUCCUUCAUGGUCAGUUGUUAGGUAGCCCUACAAAAUAUCAAACAAACUCUAGCUAAAGAUAACGGAAUAUACUCAUAUAACCCAUACAACAACUAACCAAAAAAAAAGAUUUAAAGAAUAUUUUCUGGUUAAUAGUAAAGAAGGGACAGAGUAUUUGCAAAAAUCAAACCCUAUGUUUUUACAAAACUCUAGCUUUUGGAAUUCAUUUUAUAAAACAUGUGAAAAAACAUUAUCAAUCCUAACUUACACAAGGAAAUCUUCAAGCUUGUAACACGUUCAUGACGAAUACAACUUCAAUCUGGAGGAAAUCGCGAAGAUGGAGAGCUUCAAUUUGGAAGAAAUCGCGAAGAGAGAGAGUGAAGUUUUGUCAAAGUUAACGACUUAAGAAUUUUCCCAAAUUAAGACAUUUACAAAUACACGUCGGAUACACGUGAUAGUUGUUAAAUGGUCAUUCUAUAAACAUGGGAGCUUAAAUACACGCACCACACAAUUUAUGAAAAAUGAUAAAAGAAAAUGCUUAGAUGGUUCAAAUCUGGGGUGGUAGAGGUGUUCAAUAGGUACUAGGUCUAGUUGAGGUGUCUAAAUGAAUAAUGAGAACAACUUUAAGGGGUCGCAAAUGACUUUGGCAUUGUAAAUAUAAUCUCUUCCAUGGUCGAUUGUUAGGUAGCUACAGAAAUAUCAAACAAACCCUAGCUACAGAUAACGGAACAAUACUCAUAUAACCCAAACAAAAACUAAAAACCAAAGCUUUAAAGCAUAUUUUCUGGGUAAUAGUAAAGAAGGGAUAGAAUAUUGCAAAAAUCACAAACGCUCUAUUUUUACAGAACCCUAGCCUUUUGGAAUUCAUUUAACAAAACAUGUAAAAAAACAUUAUCAAUCCUAACUUACACAAGGAAAUAUUCAAGAUCGUAACACGAACACGAAGAAUCCAACUUCAAUCUGGAGGAAAUCGCGAAGAUAGAGAGCUUCAAUUUGGAAGAAAUCACGAAGAGAGAGAAGUUUUGUCAAAGAUAACAAUUUAGGAAUUUUCCCUAAUUAAGAAAAUUACAAAUACGCGUCGGAUACACGUGGUAGUUGUUAAAUGGUCAUUCUAUACACGUCGAAUACACGUGCGGAGCUUAAAUACACGCACCACACAGUUUAUGAAAAGUGAAAAAAAAAUGCUUUGAUGAACCAAGGGUAGAGGUGUUCAAUAGGUACUAGGUCUAGUUGAGAUGCCUAAAUGAAUAAUGAGGACAACUUUAAGGGGCCACAUAUGACUUUGGCCAAAUAAAAAUAUUAAACCAUCAUAGGCCACAGGCAUUGUCCUCAUAAUAUUUAUCAAGGAAACAAUUCUUAUCACUCAUAAAUUCCAGUUACGAGAUUAAUUCACACAUGUCUAUCAUUUGUCAUAUUAUUUUCCAGAAAAAAGACAUUCUUUUGAUCGAUCAGUCAUCAUAUCUAUCGUGUCCAGGAGCUACACAAAUUACAGAGUCCUUAACCAUCACAAUAUAGUUGAUAGGAAAUAAUUAAAGGAAUGUAUUGAGCAACAGUUACGUCACAUACUCACAUCCACUUUAUCUAAAGAAGCCCACACCAACAUAGAGCUAACUUAGUACAAUUAAUUAAGCAGAAAGUCACAAAUAAUAUGAGUGGAUUUAACAUUCUCCUGAACAAAGACUUUUAACAUUUACAUCUUACACCUUUACUUUUAGUUAAAAGGUUGAUCAUACAAGACUGAAAUGAACCAAUUCAAAGUAUUUCAAAAUAGUACCUAAAUCAAAAGGAUUUAGAACAUGCAAGGAUAAGCUUGAUAUUCAAAACAUAAGUUCAAGGUGUGCAGAAUAACAAUUAGUAUGCAUUUGGAUUCAAACAAUCAUUAAAAAUUAUGGAAUUUUUUUCUAAAACAUGUAAGCACCUAUUGACUAAUUUAUUAGUGCCCAAACAACUAAAACAUUCCCUCUCCCAUUGUGUCAUGUAGCUCCAGAAAGAUUGGGAUGAAGUUCCAGCAACAGAUACGUAAAAACUUCAACCAAUCUUCCACAUUUUCUUGCUCUCUCAUAUCUCAACAAAAAGGAUUUUAGAGCAGUCCAGAACUUCAGGUACUUGCAUUUAAUACCUGUUUUAAGUUAUGCCUUAAAAACUAAAAUUUACCUGAUUUAUCUCAUUCUAAGAUACACGAUUUGGUCCCAGUUAAUCAAUCAUACAAAUUCUUUAUGUAUAGGUUUCAAUUUUUCAGAACUUGUGUUACAUCAAUCUCAUACUCAAGACAUAGGCAUGGUCAAACCAAGGAAACAGAACUCUCUUAGAGCUGCAACUAAAGGCCUACUGUAGAGUAAUUAUGGUGUUCUUUUUCAAACAACAGCUAUCAAAUUUAUGAAGUGAGAAAAAUGACGAGGGACUACAAUACUCUGAUUCAAUUUCUCAUAGAAGGUGUAAAAGUGAUGAUGAAAGAGAUCACAUGCCACUAUGGACUUAAGAGCAAAAGAAAAAGAGGUUGGCUACAAACAUACCCACUCAACUAGACUUUCCUCCCCCAAAGGCUGAGAUGCAUCCACAGACUUCCGUCCAGUAAUUAGCUCCAGAAGCACAACUCCAAAAGAAAAUACAUCGGAUUUUUCAGUCAGCUUUCCACUGGAUGCAUAUUCAGGGGCCAUGUAUCUAAAUCCAAACCAAGAAAUUAGAGUAAACAUGGCAGUAAAAAUAUGGCAGUAUAUUUUCUUAUGCUCCAUUUGAUGAAAAUACUGGAAGAGAUCCCUACCCAAACGUGCCCAUUACACGUGUUGUAACAUGACUUUUUGCAUCCUGAGCUAAUUUAGCUAAUCCAAAAUCAGCAACCUGUGAAAAGUGAAACGAUUGUAAAAGGCAGUCUACAAGAAAAACAAUGCAAAAUAAAGGAGUUUUAAGGAAUUAGACAUACCCGAGCAUCAAAGUUGUUAUCCAAAAGAAUGUUAGAUGACUUAAUAUCUCUGUGAAUGAUGCGAGGACAACCUGCCAUCACAACCAAUAGAAAUGAAUAAACCAAAAGAAGCAAGAACAAAUAUCAUAUUAGAAAUACUUAAACUCACUUCAAAGACUGAAUUUUGGGAACAUUUCAUGUCAUCUUUCAGCGAUACUUAUUUAGCUGAAGGCCAAUAAUAGGUCAAAUAACAAAACCAAACAGAAUAUGUAGUCGCAUAUCACACCAUUCUGGUAACUUUUCCAAGUCUGUUCAAUAUAUUUCUUAUAAGAUAGAAUUCAUUUGUGACUGAACAUAUACCACACCAUAACAGUCACCUUCCCGAGUAUGUUCAAUAUAAUUCUUAUAUGAUAGAAUUCAUUAGUGAGUGGCACUCCAAUCAUGUCAUAAGGAGAAAGCAUUUUAUUGUUUGUAUUUGCAUGCUUGCUGCUCAAGAUUGUUCAAGAUAUUUUAGUAAUUUCUCAACACAAAUAGGUGAUGCCUAAAUUGUGGUCAGUCAUUAGGUAAGUAUUUUAUCCUGUUCAUCCUGAGAAGAAAUCAAAUGAAGAAACAUGGACAACUCAUAAGGUAAGUAAGAGAACAGUAAUUACAAUCUUCAUGCAGAUAAGCUAUUCCACGGGCUGCACCAACAGCAAUCUUAACACGUGUUGCCCAAUCCAUAACAGGUCUUCCCUGCUCUGAAAAUUUGUAAAUUGCAAGUAUUAACAGCUAGCUUUAGUUACCAAAUGCCAAAAGUGAAUGUUAAAAUCUGAAAAGUUCCAUAUUUACCAUGGAGAUGGAAGUAAAGGGUGUCGUUGGAGACAUAGUCAUAUACAAGGAGCCUUCCAUUCUCAUAAAUGCAAUAACCUACAAGUGAAACCAAGUGUCGAUGAUGUAUUCGACUUAUGAUUUCAACUUCAGCUCUGAAUUCACGUUCCCCCUGGCUCCCAUAAAUAUUAAGCUUCUUUACUGCUAUAUCUCUCCCAUUUGCUAGGCAUCCCUUGUACACGGAACCAAAUCCACCCUCGCCCAAUAGAUUAUGCUCUGAAAAUUCAUUAGUAGCUUCAAGUAGUUCUUGAUAAGUAAACCAUGGCUUUGACUGACCUAAUCCACCAGUGUUUCCUGUUGUGUUCGCAAUAUUGGAUCCAGCUCCAUUUCCAAUCUCAGGUUUUGAUUCUCGAAACUUUAACGAGGCAGAACCUGAAUUGUAUUUCCACAUCUACUCAGAGUGCAUUUCAAAAGAUCUGAAUAACUUAUAGAUAACACAAAUGGUGCUUGCAGGACCUAAAACAUGGAUUAACACACUUAAACAAUGAUUUGACAGCAUCCAAACAAUACCUGAUUUUGGAGAGGAGAUCAGAGUUGUUGGCAAGAUAUAACCACCACUCAGGCCUGAAUCUUUUUUCUUUCGCUUGCAUAUGCACCAUCCUGCUGCUCCAACAAUACCAAGCAACAGAAACACAAGUAUGAUGCCAAUUGCAACGGACCCUCCAAUACCAAUGCCUCCAUCCCCUAUAUCCUUUGAUUUGACUGCUGAACUAUUACUGGAUGUAGUAGUGUUGCCUGAAGGAAAUGAUGGUGAAGGAGGAGUAAGAGAAGGUUGUGCACCAUUGGUGGAUUGAGGUGGUGAUGAGUUUGUAGGGGGUGAACUAGAAGAUGCUGAAUUAAUAGGAGGUAAUGCAUCUGGUGAAGGGGGUGAAUUUUUGGGAGGGACUAAGGCUGGGGAAUCUGGAGUAUUUCGUGGUGGCUUGGAUGGAGGUGCAUUUGCAGGUGGCUUGGAUGAUGGUGGUGACCUUUUAGGAGGUUCAGGAGAUGGAUUCCCCGGUGAUCGUGGUGCUGGAGGAGUUCUUGGAUUUUGCACAGGUGGUGGAGGUGACAAUGCAGGGGGGCGUAUUGAUGAAUGAGGAGGCGACAAUGCAGGGGGGUGCGUCGAUGGUGGUGGAGGUGAACUUGCAGGACGAGUUGGUUCUGGUUGAGGUGGUAAUGGGGGUGGACUACUUGGUGUGCUAGAUGAUGGAGAUUCUGUUGGACUAGCAGGUGGACUAGAAGAUGGAGGUGGUGUUAAGCUGCUAGCAGGUGGACCAGACGGUGUAGGCGGAGGACUAAUAAUUGGAGGAGCAGAUUCUGCAGGAGGUGUUGGAGUAGAAAUCGGUGGUUGUGGUUGUGGAGAUGAGGCUGGAGGAGGCAAUGUAAUAUUUGUUGGAGGAGGAGGGGAUUCUGGCAGUGGUGAUGUUGCUACAAGAGGAGCAGAUUGCGGAGAUGCAAUCGAAGAUGAGUUUUCAUUGGGCUGAUAUAUAGGUGCUGGAGAAUUCAAAGCAAUUGGUGGAGCUGCAAAUGGUGUAGAAGAACUUAGAGGGGGUGAAACAAUUGACAUCUCCAAUUCUCACCAGCACCAAAUACUAAUUAAAAUUUACACCAUUCAAUAAACACUACUAUCAAUAUCUGCAAACAUCAUUGAUAUGACAACAGUCCAAGAACUCUACUACUUUCUCUAUAAUCGAUAUUUCCAAAUCAAGAUCCCUAAUAACAACAACAACAAGAACAAGAACAAACCUAGUGCGUUCCCACGAGUGGAGUCUGCGCGAGGAUAGAGUGUACGUAGCAAAUCACUUCCUCUUAUUCUACAAUUAGCAUUCACAACAAUUCACCUCCACAAAACUUACAUCAAUUAAACUCCACUGUCUAAGUUAAAAACAAAAACAAGAUUCAAUCUUUCUCCACAAUACUCAAAACCUUGGCUUUAUAUCCUAAGUAGAACUCAGCUGCAAAUUUCAAACACUUUAUCAAACAAACCACCACAAGCUAACUAAAUUUACACCAUUCACUAUAUAGUAUCAAAAUCUCGACAACACUUGCUCAAAAAUUGAUUAUUUUUUUUCAAAUCAAGAUCCCCUUAGGCCUCUUUACUCUACAACUCACCUCCACAAAUACUUGCAGCAAUUACACUCCACUACCAAGCUAAAAACAAUAACAAAGAUUCAAUCUUUUCCCAAAAUAUGUUGGUUCAGACUGUAACCAGCCCUCAUCUGCUGAAACAAGCAACCAAUGAGGAAAAAAAAAAGAUACCCAAAUCACCAAAAAGAAUUAUCUCAAAACCCCAAGUACCCAAAAUGCAAGAUUUUCUAGUAGAUAAUAAAGAAGUUGUGCUUUCAAACGAAAACCCACUUUAAACAAAGGCCCAUAAAAUUGAUUCCAAUUGUCAAGAACAAAAAAGCAUGAGAAUUUUGAGCCAAUGUUGAAAUAACAGAAUGAAAAAAGCAACUUCUUUUGGUGACCUUAGAAAAAGAUUAAUGGAAAUGGGGUGUGAGAAAUCAUAGCAUGGUACUAACUACAACACCGAAAAUGACCUUAAUAAAGAAAAAAAAGAAGAGAAUUUUAAUAGUAGUAUGAACUGUAUGAGGGGAAUAUGUGUGUGUUUUGAGUAGUGUUGUCUUUUAGUCAUUGUUGGUUAUUUGGACUUGACAAUAUUAAAAUUGUUGUUGGAUUCUUAUAACGUCAAAUUCAGUGUAACAGAUUGGUCCAAGGUUGAGCAACGCACAUUAUUUUAGUACUACUUGGAGUAAAAUUCGACUCUAUCGAGUUCGAAAUCUAAGUUAUUAUUUUAGUAAAUAUUAAAAGAGACUUAGUGAAAGAAAAAUUAUUUUAUGUAAUAUUUAAGCGUUUUUCAACAAAUUAUUUUUAUAUCUGGUAAAGUGUAACUAUUUCUUAAGCUAUAUUAAGUGGGGAAAAAAUAUAUUUUACAAAAAAGAAUGUUUUUCUGUUUUUCUUACAAUUUAUUUUUUAAUUGUGUAUAGUAUCAUUAUUUUAAUUAUAUAUAGUAUUAUUAUUUUUGUGCAUGCAUUUUUUUUUGGAGAUUUUAAUUUAUAUAUAGUUAUUGUUUUUGUAAAUGUAUUUGUUUGUUUUUUUAGGAAAAGUGAAAGAAAAAUUCAUGUAUGUUUAUAAAGAACCUAAAAAAAAUUCUUCCUCGUAAAACAAGGUGUAAAAAAUAUAAUGUCGUCAUAUAUUAAUAUACAUGUUAUUAAACUAACAGAAAAUGUUUGAAAUAUUAUUGCAUAAAAAAGAAUUUUUUCUUUCAUUAAGUCUAUUUUCAUUACUUACUAGAAUAGUUAUUUAUCAUGGUCACUUUUAUCUAUUUUUAAAAACUAUUUAGAUUCCAAACUCAACUCUAUCCUCAUUAAGGUACUCCCUCCCUCCUUUUCUCAUUAAUUUUUAUAAUUUCAACUCUAAUUUAUAUUUUAAUAAUUUCAAUUCUAAUUUAUAUUUAAUCGAAUUUUAACAUAAAUAUUGAAUAUUAAAUAUCAAUAAGCAGAUGGUCACUUUCUCAAGAAACUUUGAGUGGACACGUAAAUGAUGAUCUUGGUUAGGUUAGUGCAAUAUAUGUGGUCUUUUAAGAAGCAUUUUCUCAAUGAAAAUAUUUGUAGGUUUACGUCUUAUCUGGUCUUAUAUGAUAUUACGGUUAAAAAUUAUUUAUUUUAAAAAAAUAAAAGAUAAUUUUUGAGAAAAAUAUUUUUUUAAAAAAAAUAAUUGUGUUUGAUUUAAUCAUUUAAAAGUGCUUUUGAUAAGCUGAAUAUGUUUACCAAUUUUUUGAAAAAAAUAUUUUUAAAAGUUAAAUUAUGAUAAUGUUAUAAAUUCAUUGAAUUGUGUGGAUUGUCCUUUAGAUAUACUCAAGACUUAAUUGUAUUCAUGUAUACAUGUUUCCAAGGUGAUGAGAACAAUUUGGAUAACUAUGUACCUACCAAUUGGGCAUUUAUCAUGGAGGCCUUUGGGAUGAUAUCUCAACUCUAUAAAUAGAGAUAUCAUUCACCUAUUGUAGAACACACUUGAAUAAGAAGAAAGUCUUAUCUUGCAUUUUACUUCUCUUGUCUUCAUCUCUUUAUAUUUAUAUUGUCAUGAGCUUGAUUUUAUAACACGUUAUCAGCACGAGUCUUUAUCUAAUUGAGAGUGAGUUCUUGUUUUUCUUUAGCUCAUAUUUUGGUUGAUCUCGUUAUGAAGAUCAAAGUAUUAUAUGCAUAAAAUCAUGUAUGUAUUUUCUAAAAUAUUUUUAUGAUUUAGAAUAAAAAUAGUAUUCAGUCACUAACAAUUAUCAUGAACUGAAGACAUAUACUAUUAUUGGUUGAAUAUGACAUGCUAUACAAAACUUCUUAAAUUGAAGAAGAAUAAAAUUUUAAUAGCAUGAGUUUGAAUAUUAUUUAGAUUGUUUUGAAAGACUCAAAGAAUAAAUCAUGUUGUACUUCGGUUUAUUAUACCGUUGGUUAAGGGUAAGACGAUGGAUUCAAGUUUCAUCGCACCAAAAGGGUAAGACAUCAGGUUAAAGUCCGGAUGCACCAUAAUGAAAAAUAUUUGAGGAUAAGACGAUAGAUUCAAGUUCUAUCGCACCAAAAGGGUAAGACAUCAAUUAGAUUUUUGAUGCACCGUGAUUGGGUUCAAGACCAUAGAAUUAUGGCGUAACACGCCUUAUAUGGGUAAGACAUUGAGUUUGAGCCAAUGCACCAUAGCGAUGAUAAAUUGAUGACUAAGAAAAAUAUUAUAUUUUUGAUGAAAUGUCUUGAAAUUCAUGAUAUUGAAUUUGCUCCAUUCCUUGAAAAGAAUGUGGUAGCAACAUGUGAUAACUCUGAAAUCCGUCUGUUGACUUGCUCCAUUCAAUCAUAUGAAUGUGGUAGCAGUGAAUGAUUAGUCUGAAAGAUGACAAAUAAUUAAUGAUAUGAAUAAGGGUGUGGAAGGACAGAAUUAUAAUAGUCAUCAUUGUGGUAAUGAUAAAAGGAAGAACAAUAUGAGUUCUUCAAAUAGUCCUUCAAAAUGUGAAGACAAUUUUUAUUAUGAAAAUGGUAUGAAAAGUCAUUAGACUUGUGAAUGUUGUCAACCCAAUAACUUGACAAGUUUAUAAAUCCUCUAUCAUGAUAUAAGAAGAUAAAGUGAUGGUACACUUGAUCUUUCAAAGUGAUGUUGAGGUGUGUCAUGGAAAUAUGAUGAAUUUUAAAGCCAUGACAAUGUGCUUAUAAUGCAAAUUUAUAAAGUACAUAUAAAUAAUUAGUCCAAUCCUUGAAGAGAAUGUGACUUGUAAUGAGUAUCGUGAAUGCUCGACCAUUCUAUAAGAGAAUGGGUCCAAACGUGAUAAAAUCAUUAUGGGUUGGAUAUAUGUCACAACUCACCUCUAUAGAAGGUUUGAGAAAAAAAAUGAUACAUGUCACUUCUCAUCUCUACGGGAGAUUUGAGAGGAAAUAAAUUUUAUUUGGUAGAAAUGGCUAAUUGUAUUGUAUGUUUUAUACGUCACUAUGAUAUAAACUACCGAAAGGGCAAAAGAAAGAAAUAGUUCUUGCCUAUAAGGGUUGUGGUCAUUAUUGCGUGGCAAUACAAAUUUGUCAUUGGUUGUGUACCUAUGGUACAACAAAAGUAAAGCAAGAAAGACGUCUUGCUCGUAAUGAUUUUGACCAUGACAAUAAUAAUAUAAUUUCCUCCUUGAAGGAGAUGCUCACCAUAGGGAUGGUGUCAUGCAAUAUGUCAUAGUACAC